UACGUAGGGUGCAAGCGUUGUCCGGAAUUAUUGGGCGUAAAGAGCUCGUAGGCGGUUUGUUGCGUCGGCUGUGAAAUCCCGAGGCUCAACCUCGGGUCUGCAGUCGAUACGAGCAAACUAGAGUGUUGCAGGGGAGACUGGAAUUCCUGGUGUAGCGGUGAAAUGCGCAGAUAUCAGGAGGAACACCGGUGGCGAAGGCGGGUCUCUGGGCAACAACUGACGCUGGAGGAGCGAAAGCCGGUGGGGAGCGAACAGG
Molecule: ribosomal RNA, 256 nt
Filed under: uncultured bacterium
Lineage: Bacteria
Description: partial 16S ribosomal RNA
Rfam family: Bacterial small subunit ribosomal RNA
Source: RNAcentral